AAAUUAUCAAGGAAAAUUGAUCUAUGAAUAAAUCAUAAUGUAUUUGGCCUCAACAAACAUAUGGAGAAAUGAUAAAACCAACAAAACUAGAUAAUACCAAAAUACUCUAGAAUCUCAGUAUAACUCCAAAACACAAAGAACAAAAAGAUACUACAGAUUCUCUCAACAUCAGUAAAAUGGUUUAGAGCAGCCCCGCAAAACAUUUUCUAAAUUGUUUAAAGAGAAUGACUACUAGAUCAUCAACUCUUACUGAUCUCCAGGCAGAGACUUGAUAAUGUCGGAAUCACCUGGGUCAAUGAUGCUCAGGCAUGACACACGGUGGAACUUUCCACAUGCUGUACCAAGAUCAACAUUGUUUCCAUUGAAAUGGUGAACACCAACUUUAGCGAGCAUAGCAUAAUACUCAAUCUCAGAUUUCCUCAAAGGUGGGCAGUUGUUUGAUAUCAAUAUCAACUUCCCUUUUGAGGUCCUGAGAGUCUUGAGAACAGUCUUGUAACCAAGAGUGUACUUUCCACUCUUCAUUACGAGAGCCAAUCUGUUGUUAAUGCUCUCAUGAGUCCUCUUCGAUUUCUUCCCGGUAGUCACCAUUCUUGAUUACACAAAGAUCUGUGAAACUAAGGGGAAAGGGGGAAGGGGAAAAACAGGGAAGAG
This 651-nucleotide unclassified non-coding RNA is filed under the name Hevea brasiliensis (rubber tree). Lineage: Eukaryota; Viridiplantae; Streptophyta; Magnoliopsida; Malpighiales; Euphorbiaceae. The record is from RNAcentral.